Penaeus chinensis is the source of this 660-nucleotide long non-coding RNA. RefSeq lists it as uncharacterized. NCBI's taxonomy places the organism in Eukaryota, Metazoa, Arthropoda, Malacostraca, Decapoda, Penaeidae. The record is from RefSeq and is a predicted model, not a curated record. The transcript is spliced from 2 exons.
UGUGUGUGUGUGUGUGUGUGUGUGUGUGUGUGUUUGUGUGUGUGUGUGUGUGUGUGUCUGUGUGUGUGUGUGUGUGUGUGUGUGUGUGUGUGUGUGUGUGUGUGUGCAUAUAUAUGUGUGUGUGUGUAACUAAGAAAAGAUACUGAGAGCAGAACGGAAACACAUUUACACUAGUUGUGUGUGUGUGUGUGUGUGUGUGUGUGAGAGAGAGAGUGUGUGUGCUGUGUAAACUUUUCUGUAAACAUUAAGUUAGAGACGUGGGUAUUUUUGAAAGGAAGUAGCUGAAACAGAUGUUUAGAAAGACAGAAACAUAAACUUCUCAGCAAACAAACAUAUAAGCAAAACACACACACACUCACACACGAACGCAUGUAUCCAGAUGAAAGGAACGAAUGAUAUCGUGACGUUUGUAGUUGCGCGUCAUGGAGGGGGGGGGGGGGUCAGUCGUUCGGAUAGCAAGGGGGGAGGGGGAGGAGGGCAUUAAAGAUAGAAGGAAAGAUUACGGUAGAAAACAUGGCGGAAAAGCAAACUAAUAUUCUCUGCAUCACAUUAAAAGAAAUAUAUAAUUUUCUUUCGUUAUACCUUACGAUUGUCAACGUUUUAUAUUUUUUUUCCAUAUGUUUCUAUUUUUCCCUAAGUUAAUAAACAAAUUAAUCCAUA